RNAcentral lists this ribosomal RNA (446 nucleotides) under Eudrilidae sp. 1104_GH9. RNAcentral describes it as "partial 16S ribosomal RNA". It matches the Rfam family "Bacterial large subunit ribosomal RNA", at positions 1859 to 2597 of the family's 2925-position model. Lineage: Eukaryota; Metazoa; Annelida; Clitellata; Crassiclitellata; Eudrilidae. The record is from RNAcentral.
CUGCCCGGUGAAAUAUUUCAACGGCCGCGGUAUCCUAACCGUGCAAAGGUAGCAUAAUCACUUGCCUAUUAAUUGUAGGCUAGAAUGAAUGGAAAUAUGAAAUAAAUACUUUCUAAAUUAGUAAAAUAAAAAUUAUUUUUUAACCGAAGAAAGUUAAAUAAAACCGAAGGACAAGAAGACCCUAAAGAGCUAAUUUUUUUACUGACUAUUCAAGAACAAAUUUGAUUGGGGCGAUCAAGGAUUAUUUUUAUCAUCCUUUUUUUUAAGAUUUAUUAAUCUAAAAAUGAUCCUUAAUUAAGAUCCAUAAAAUAGUUACCUUAGGGAUAACAGGCUAAUUUUACUAAAAAGUUCUUAUUAAUAGUAAAGAUUGGCACCUCGAUGUUGGCUUAGGAGCUCUAAAUGGCGCAAGAGUCAUAAAAGAUAGUUUGUUCAACUAUUAAAUUCCU